UCCUUCGGGCCCGGGAACACAGGUGGUGCAUGGUGUCGUCAGCUCGUGCCGUGAGAUGUGGGUUAAGUCCCGCAACGAGCGCAACCCCUAUAAUUAUUUGCCUGCAUCAGUUNGGACUCUAGUUAGACUCCGGUCCAAACCGGAGGAAGGUGAGGAUGACGUCAAAUCAUCAUGCCCCUUAUGACCUGGGCUACACACGUGCUACAAUGGAUGGUACAACGAGCAGCUAACCCGCGAGGGUAUGCGAAUCUCUUAAAGCCAUUCUCAGUUCGGACGGCAGGCUGCAACUCGCCUGCAUGAAGCCGGAAUCGCUAGUAAUCGCGGAUCAGCACGCCGCGGUGAAUACGUUCCCGGGUCUUGUACACACCGCCCGUCACACCACGAGAGUUUGUAACACCCGAAGCCGGUGGCCUAACCCUUUUAGGGAGGGAGCCGUCGAAGGUGGGAUAGAUGAUUGGGGUG
RNAcentral lists this ribosomal RNA (462 nucleotides) under uncultured bacterium. Its description in RNAcentral is "bacterial SSU rRNA". It matches the Rfam family "Bacterial small subunit ribosomal RNA", at positions 1016 to 1482 of the family's 1533-position model. The record is from RNAcentral.